GAGAUCACGAGUUUGAGACCAGCCUGACCAACAUGGUGAAACCCCAUCUCUACUAAAUACAAAAAAUUAGCCGGGCGUAGUGGCGCAUGCCUGUAAUUCCAGCUACUUGGGAGGCUGAGGCAGGAGAAUUGCUUGAAUCCGGGAGGCGGAGGUUACAGUGAGCCAAGAUUGCACCAUUGCACUCCAGCCUGGGCAACAAGAGUGAAACUCCAUCUCCCCCCCCACCCCGCAAAAAAAGACAACAGAGGCGUUCAAUCAGUCGGCCGCGGAACCCUGAUCCGCAAAGAUGAUAGCAGUUCUGCUUGGUUCCUGUCUGAGCCUGGAUCUGGAUCUGGGAGGUGCUGGCGGGGUCCUGUUCUUCCGCUCUGGUGGGAAUCUGAUUGUGAUCAGCAUUGGGCCGCAUGCCAGAGACGGCUGCAGUCCUGUGCCUGGCCUGGCCGGCCUCGGUGCUACCCGCCACCCCUCACGUCUUCCCUUCUGGCUCCUUGUACGUCACUGGUCAGUCCGCGAACCCUGACUCUCCAUCAGUGAGCUGUGUGGCACUGGGCAAGCCUCUGCCCUUCUCUACUUCCCAGGGUACAGAGUGAGCUUCCACCUUUUGGCUUGAUUCUCCUUCACAUCUUGCCCACCCAGGCUUCUGACCGAAUCUAGCAGCUCAAGUCAAAUUCAGCUGGAAAUUGGCUGCUGAAGAAGCUGUCUUUCACCCUCUAUAACUGAGGACUUACUGUUCCUAACUGUUGCUAAGUGGGGGCUGUUUUCUUUGAGGGAGUUUUUUCUUCUUUAGCAAUUUUAUAUAUAAAAUAACAAAUGCAAAGUAUGUAUUAUGAGACAUGCUAACAAAAUGAACAUCUGUGAACCCACUACCCCAUCUAAGAAUUAGAACAUUAUCAACAGGGUUGUAUGUGCCUAUGUGUUCUUUCCUGUUCUGUAUGCCUGUCUCCCUUGAAGAGAUAGCUAUUACCCUGAGUUUUGGUGUUUGUUAUUUCCUUGCUUUAAAAAAGUAGCUUCAUCGGCCGGGCGUGAUCCCAGCGCUUUGGGAGGCUGAGGCGGGUGGAUCACCUGAGGUCAGGAGUUUGAGACCAGCCUGACCAACAUGGUGAAACCCCAUCUCUACUAAAAAUACAAAAUUAGCUGGGUGUGGUGGCAUGCGCCUGUAAUCCCAGCUACUGAGGAGGCUGAGGCAGGAGAAUCACCUGAACCCGGGAGGCGGAGUUUGCAGUGAGCCAAGAUCACGCCAUUGUAUUCUAGCCUGGGCGACAAGAGUGAAACUCUGUCUCAAAAAAAAAAAAAAAAAAAAGCUUCAUCACAUAUGUUUGUAUCUACAAACUUUACUUGUUUACUUUUGCUUGUUUUUGAGCUUUGUAAAAAUGGUGUCAUAUUGUAUAUAGUUUUUUUUUGGUUGUGAUAAACGGUAAUGCUGUGAGUAUUCUUGCAUAAAUCUCUGUAUGCAGCAGUUCCCAUGCACCAGCGUUUCUUCUAGAGAAGUGCAAUCGAUGAAUUCUAGGGCAUGUAAAUGCUCAAGUUCACAGAUUGUUUUGCCAAUUUCCAAUCCCACCAGCAGUAUAUGUAAGAGUAUAUGCUAGAAUAAUCAUCGUUUAUUGAACAGCCCAACUUUUUCCAAUUGACCUACAAUUGAUCUCUGUUAUCUAAAAAAUUUCUAUAUAUCUGUGGGUCUGCUUUUUGGCUUUUAACCUAAUUCAUUGAUCAAGUUGUCUAAACCUGCACUAAUAUUAUUCAGUCUAAAAUGCUAUGGAUUUAUAAGAAGUCCUGAUGUUGGGUAAGUCCUGCCAUCUCACUGUUUUCCUUGAAGAGUAAAUUGACUAUUUCUGGCCCAUUGCAUUUUGGCCUGUUGCAUAUAUCAGAAUCAACUUGUAAUUUUGAUUGGCAUUGUAUUGAGUCUAUAUCUCAGUUUGGACAGUGCUGACAUUGUUGUGAUAUUGAGUCUAAAUAUCCAUGGUAUAACUCUCAUAUUAGUUAGGUUUUAAUUAAUGCCUUCUAAUAAAUAUUGUAUUUUUUCUUAUGUA
Molecule: long non-coding RNA, 2024 nt
Organism: Homo sapiens (human)
Lineage: Eukaryota; Metazoa; Chordata; Mammalia; Primates; Hominidae
Exons: 2
Source: RefSeq, a predicted model, not a curated record